AACUAUUUCUUCCAGUAACCCGGAGUCAUAAAAUUCAAAGUCCUCAUUUUCAUCAACAGCUUCAGUAUUGGCUUUGAUAUCAUAACUGUUUUCAACUGCACCACAAUUGAUAUUAUUAGCAUAACAGUUCACAAAUGGGGUUGAAGAAGAAGUGACAUUGCUGUUGUGAUUGUGAAAGUGGUGAGGAGAAGAAGAAUUGAGGAAGUCACGAAAGAUAAGCAUGUUAAGGGAAGAAGAAGAAGGGUCUUGGUGGUGAUGGGAAGCUGAAGCGGGAAAAGGUAAAAUUUUGUUCAAGUGUUGUUGCUGUUGUGGUGGGUAAGGGUGCUUUGGGAGAUUGAAGUGAGAAAAAUCGGCGGCGGGAGAAGGUGG
Molecule: long non-coding RNA, 369 nt
Filed under: Lupinus mutabilis
Lineage: Eukaryota; Viridiplantae; Streptophyta; Magnoliopsida; Fabales; Fabaceae
Description: partial ncRNA
Source: RNAcentral